Molecule: long non-coding RNA, 1988 nt
Filed under: Homo sapiens (human)
Lineage: Eukaryota; Metazoa; Chordata; Mammalia; Primates; Hominidae
Description: HSALNT0043380
Source: RNAcentral
AUCCUGAAUGAUAAUCGUGUCUUAAUAAUAAUAAAAGAAAGAAAAUAAGAGACAAGCAUCACGAUUUUCCCAAUUGAAAUGUCUUUUGGUUUUGCCUUUGGUGGCACAGGGUCAAGGGUGUGGGGGCAUUUGUGUGGCAUUCACUAUUCUUUCAACCUGUCCUGAUUAUGGAACCCUUUAAGGUCCGUCCACUUGGAACCACGGUGCUCUGAGAGGACGCUGAACUCACAGCAGCCCACACACAAUUCCAGUGAUACUACUGCAAUGUUUUGUACACAGAAUCUUAGGUUUGUUGGGUAAAUGUAGCAUCAUAUUUUGUUUUAGCAAUUUGUGAACAGUCUUGCUUCUCUUCACACUUAUAAGCUCAUCAGGCUAAGGAUUAAAUCGUAUGCACCCAAAUACCUCUUAGUAUACAAACGUCUGCACUCAGUAGCGUUUCUGGCUGAGCAGGUGGAAGAAGGGCCACGUUCGCCAAUGUCAUGAGGGGCCAGCAUCUUUAACCUUCACGCCCACAUCACCAGCCUUGCCUUCUUCACAACAGAAAUGUUGUCCCACUUCCUUUCCAGGUCUCUCAGAUUCAUGGUACGAGUUGGAAAGAGACCUGAGAGAUUAUUUAGGCUAAACGUUUCAUUUUAUAAAUGACAAAAUUAGGGUUGAGCAAAAUGUGGUGAUUUUGUCUGUGCAAAGCCAAGAAAAAAAAUUAGAGCCUCUUAAAAGUCAUUUUUCCCCUGAAAUAAAGUAUCUUCAUUUCACUGUUAAAUAUAUGUCCUCAUGUAGUUGCUAUAAUCAACCACUUCUCAAGAAAACUCUAAAAGCUGUAUUUCCCAUAUGACACAUUUCAGAAUAUUACAUAAGAAGCUCUCACCAAGACACCAAGGUAAAAUAUAUAUGACAAGCCAAAGACAGGUGCCAUAAAAAAAUAAGAAAUCUUCAAAGGGGAAAGAAAUUCCAAAAGUGGCAACAUGACACCACUCAUUCUCUGCCUACUUUCGAGGUAAGACGAUGUUGAAGUUCUGAGGGGGCUCAGUAAAUAACACCUCUCUUCCCCCUCCAGGUCCUGCACAAAUUGAAAACAUAAAAGGUAGCAGAUGGACUCAAAUGCCACCUUCAUGACUGAGGUGCCAAGCUGGAGGGCAGGAGUUGCCCUCUGGUCCUGGUUUAGGCUGACCUUCUGAACGGGGCCUGAGGGCAGGACCACACGGGCAGGGAUCAGAAAGGAGCUGGAGGAGAGCUCAGAAGGGAGGGCGGGCCCAGCUCUCUUGGCGGCCAAGGAAAAAGCCUGGCAUGUUAGAGCUGGUGCAGGACUCUCCAGGGUGACCGAGCCACCCAGAAGAGGGAAAAGCCAUUCUCCAUAACAAAAAGUCAGGACCGGCUGAAAGCCCCUCCCAGCCCUCCACCCUCCUUCGGCGGGGCUUCUUUCUGAGCUUUGCCCCAUCCCUGCCCCGUGCUGGUGACUGGUGUUUGGCUCCCUCCUAGAGAAAGAGAUGGGCCUGGGUUGGUUGAGAGAGAAAGAGAGAGAAAGGGAGAGACAGAGAGAAGGCUUAGCUCUUGUCCAACAGGGCCACCUAGAGGGACUCUCAGGCUUGAGCGGGAGAAGCAGAGUUUUGAGGCAGAGCUGAUCAAGGGAACCUCAACAAACAACCCCAGCCAUGGAGGCGGCGGUGUCUUUGAAGACCCCAUGAGAGCAUCAAACAAGGGAGAGAGCCUGGAACAAAUCAUGGUAGUAAAAUGGCGGCAGAGAGCUAGUAAUGUGUCUGCAAUUGGUGGGUUCUUGGUCGCACUGACUUCAAGAAUGAAGCCGCGGACCCUCACGGUGGUGUCUUUGGUGGCUGUUCACCCUUCCACAGUAAACAUGCUUGGGAAGCAACUUUGCCAAAAGCCUUCGGACAGUCCAGCGUCAACACCGCAAGCCAAGUGAGUUGCUCUUCUAACAAGUGAUGUCAACUGCGAAUAAGCAAAGAGUUUCAGAGGUUGCCAGAUUGUCACAG